ACGAGAAGAAGUAGACAGAGAUAAAUGGAAGGAACUGCUCCCCAAGAUUCUUAGUCACUUCCUUUUCUUUAUAGGGGCAAGCUAGUCUGCUUUCCACCGGAGCAUUUCCCUCCAAAGAUGCAGGUUUCUCUACUUAUCUCCUCCCUGGAUGGCUGUAUAAGCCAGAUGAUGGUUACCUGAACACUCCAGAAAAAGAAUUCACAGAGGGUUUCACAGGGCACAGCCUCGCAGUCUGGAGGGAGAAGAGGGCAAAGCGGUCUUCACGGACGCCACCUACUGCCUGGCUGGGCAGAGAGCCAGUGGAUCAGAGAGGCCGGCUCUGUUCUUGGCAGGAAAUGAGGAGCUGGCAUGGAAAUGCCACCCAGGCUGGGAACAAGAUCUAUGGAGUGGCAGCCUGAGUGGGUGAGGUGAGGGGGAGCACAGGACAACCCAAGGCUCUCUUGUCAGCAGCGCCAGUCCACAGGGAUCUUCAGUGGUCAGCGUUCGAACAUGCUGGACUGGGCCGGGCCAUGGAAACCCACUCUUUGUCAGUGAAUCCCAAGCUUCAGUGCACCUCUGUAUCACCUUGGCAGGAGGGUAGUAUUUAAAAG
This 590-nucleotide long non-coding RNA is filed under the name Macaca nemestrina (pig-tailed macaque). RNAcentral describes it as "lncRNA (ENSMNEG00000046192.1)". Lineage: Eukaryota; Metazoa; Chordata; Mammalia; Primates; Cercopithecidae. The record is from RNAcentral.